CCGCCAUGCCAUCCAGACUGAGGAAGACCCGGAAACUCCGGGGCCACGUGAGCCACGGCCACGGUCGCAUCGGUAAGCACCGCAAGCACCCAGGAGGCCGCGGGAAUGCUGGAGGCAUGCAUCACCACAGGAUCAACUUUGACAAAUAGUGAGUGUUUCGGAAGUGGGGGCAGAAGGGAUGACUUAGAACAGCUUCUCUCUGGAAACGGUUUCUUAACGUUGGUUAUUAGCUUUAGCGAGCAAAACACUGCAUGUGAACUGAGGGAACCUGUCCGAGGCUAGAGUCACGCUCAGGUAUUGCUUGUUGCCUCAGUGUGCUAGAGUCCUCGAAGAAAAACUACUGACCUUAUUCACUGGCUGUGGACUUUAUGGCGCAGUCAGUCACCAGGUUAGUGACAUACUUCAGAUCAACCCUGUUUAGGGACCCUGUUAAAAGUGAGGGCGGGGUUCUACUGAGUGGCCUGACAGCCAGUUAAAAAUUAUAUCAGGUGCCUGCCGUGUCAAUGUUUACAAUAGUGAACAUUUAUACUGCGAUAGGAGAUAGCUAGAAAGAUGAGCUUGCUCUGAAGAUGGUUGCCUUCCUUCCUAGUCAUCCAGGUUACUUCGGCAAAGUUGGCAUGAGGCAUUACCACUUGAAGAG
This 640-nucleotide long non-coding RNA is filed under the name Rattus norvegicus (Norway rat). RNAcentral's name for it is "long non-coding RNA NONRATT001080". The stretch from base 272 to 401 matches the Rfam family "Small nucleolar RNA SNORA3/SNORA45 family". Lineage: Eukaryota; Metazoa; Chordata; Mammalia; Rodentia; Muridae. The record is from RNAcentral.